This 398-nucleotide ribosomal RNA is filed under the name uncultured bacterium. Its description in RNAcentral is "bacterial SSU rRNA". It matches the Rfam family "Bacterial small subunit ribosomal RNA", at positions 33 to 431 of the family's 1533-position model. The record is from RNAcentral.
UGACGCUGGCGGCAGGCCUAACACAUGCAAGUCGAGCGGUAGAGAGAAGCUUGCUUCUCUUGAGAGCGGCGGACGGGUGAGUAAUGCCUAGGAAUCUGCCUAGUGGUGGGGGAUAACGUUCGGAAACGGACGCUAAUACCGCAUACGUCCUACGGGAGAAAGCGGGGGACCUUCGGGCCUCGCGCCAUUAGAUGAGCCUAGGUCGGAUUAGCUAGUUGGUGAGGUAACGGCUCACCAAGGCGACGAUCCGUAACUGGUCUGAGAGGAUGAUCAGUCACACUGGAACUGAGACACGGUCCAGACUCCUACGGGAGGCAGCAGUGGGGAAUAUUGGACAAUGGGCGAAAGCCUGAUCCAGCCAUGCCGCGUGUGUGAAGAAGGUCUUCGGAUUGUAAAGC